GAUAGACAAGAGAGCCAGGAGGCCAUACAAAGAACAGCAGGGAAGAGCCGGCACCAAAAACUUGCACUCAGAAUGUCAGAGAACCACUCGAGUGGAAGGGUGCCAACUCGAGCUGCAGAGAAGGAAAAAGGAAACAGAAAAACAGGCAGCUAAAAGAGGCUGACGAACAGCGCAGCCAGGGCAGAAAGCAUGCAAAAAAUAAACGAAGAGGGAGGGCAGAAAUACAACCCCACAACACCAGGAUACAACCAAAUGAAAGCAGCAGCCGGGUGAACUGGAAGCAGCAACAACAGCGACUAAAAGACCAAGGGUAAGACGAGAUAGAGAACCACCCAAACAAGGGGGAAGAGGGGGCUACCCACGAGCAUCAUCAAUGCAAAGAAAGACAUGAACGGAGACGGCCAAAUGAUCUCUUCAGUAGGAGGCCGAAACGCUUACUCAAAGAUAGAAGGGUGGAUACCCCAACUAAGCUGAAGACGUUUGUUGCGUGGGAUAUCCGGGACCUUGGAGAAUGUAAGGGCCUUAUCUUUGACAGCUUUGAUUAGAUGGGCUUUCAUGGCUGGGAGGGAGAGCUGUUGGUUGCGGAAGAUGAUAUUGUUUCUCUCCUUCCAGACAAGAUAACAUAAGGCACCAAAGGAAAACCUAGCCAUUGAUUGAUGGAACCCUGAAUCAGAUAAGUGAUUAAUAGCCCACAAAAGGUUCACUUUCCAGGUCUGGUUUCUCCAAGGAAGAUUAAACUUUGCUGCC
RNAcentral lists this long non-coding RNA (747 nucleotides) under Eucalyptus grandis. Its description in RNAcentral is "long non-coding RNA (EGRA_LNC004984)". The record is from RNAcentral. Lineage: Eukaryota; Viridiplantae; Streptophyta; Magnoliopsida; Myrtales; Myrtaceae.